UGGGGAAUAUUGGACAAUGGGCGCAAGCCUGAUCCAGCCAUGCCGCGUGAGUGAUGAAGGCCCUAGGGUUGUAAAGCUCUUUUGGCGGGGAAGAUAAUGACGGUACCCGCAGAAUAAGCCCCGGCUAACUUCGUGCCAGCAGCCGCGGUAAUACGAAGGGGGCUAGCGUUGCUCGGAAUCACUGGGCGUAAAGCGCACGUAGGCGGAUUCUUAAGUCAGAGGUGAAAGCCUGGAGCUCAACUCCAGAACUGCCUUUGAUACUGGGAGUCUCGAGUUCGGGAGAGGUGAGUGGAACUGCGAGUGUAGAUGUGAAAUUCGUAGAUAUUCGCAAGAACACCAGUGGCGAAGGCGGCUCACUGGCCCGAUACUGACACUCAGACGCGAAAGCUAGGGUAGCAAACG
RNAcentral lists this ribosomal RNA (402 nucleotides) under uncultured prokaryote. Its description in RNAcentral is "bacterial SSU rRNA". It matches the Rfam family "Bacterial small subunit ribosomal RNA", at positions 355 to 774 of the family's 1533-position model. The record is from RNAcentral.